UGUAGAUUGUAUCUUGAGAGCNGAUUAAAGUCUGUUGGAACACAGCGCCUUAGAGGGUGACAGCCCCGUAAAAUCUAUUCUCAUUGUAAGAUACUUUCGAAGAGUCGAGUUGUUUGGGAAUGCAGCUCUAAGUGGGANGUAAAUUCCUUCUAAAGCUAAAUAUUGACGAGAGACCGAUAGCGAACAAGUACUGUGAAGGAAAGAUGAAAAGCACUUUGAAAAGAGAGUGAAAAAGUACGUGAAAUUGUUAAAAGGGAAGNGUAUUGAAUCAGACUUGGUGCUGUUGUUCAACYRUGUUUYGGCAYRGUGUACUCAGCAGUACUAGGCCAAGGUGGNGUGUUUGGGAGUGAAAAAGAAGUNGGAACGUAACUCUUCGGAGUGUUAUAGCCUACUUUCAUAGCUCCUCAGGCGCCUC
RNAcentral lists this ribosomal RNA (415 nucleotides) under Geotrichum candidum. RNAcentral describes it as "partial large subunit ribosomal RNA". Lineage: Eukaryota; Fungi; Ascomycota; Dipodascomycetes; Dipodascales; Dipodascaceae. The record is from RNAcentral.